Trichonephila clavipes is the source of this 73-nucleotide non-coding RNA. NCBI's taxonomy places the organism in Eukaryota, Metazoa, Arthropoda, Arachnida, Araneae, Nephilidae. The record is from the annotation of a GenBank genome assembly.
GUCUCGGUAGAGCAUUGGAUUGCGCUUUGGACUUCUAAUCCAAAGGUCGUGGGUUUGAAUCCCGCCUGGGAUG